This is a non-coding RNA of Chlorocebus sabaeus (green monkey), 848 nucleotides long. Lineage: Eukaryota; Metazoa; Chordata; Mammalia; Primates; Cercopithecidae. The record is from RefSeq and is a predicted model, not a curated record.
UCUCUUACGAGGAAACUAGGAAAUAUGAAGGAUUUGUCUUCUUAGGCAUUGGCAUUUGAGCCAGAUGGCCUUGCUUUAAAAAUAAAUAAAUAACACAUUCUAUACUUUGGAAUGUUCUAAUGUGGAAACCAAUAUCCAAGAAUGGGCUAUGGAAAAACUAUUUUUGCUAUUUUUAGAAGCAACCACCCUCUCUUUCUGAGUAAUAAGCUUAAGGCUCCAACUUCUAAUUCACAGACUAAAGACAAACAAAGUAUAUCAGAUUAAUAUUUUCAAAAUAUUCCAGUUGCACUCAUAAUUUUUCGUGGGAUAACUCUGCCAAAGAGGAUAUUGAGGUCAAUAAGCGCAUGGCUUCCUGUGCUGGAGAGUUUACAGAUAAAAAGGAGCGAGGGCCCUAGGGGUGGUGGUGAAGACAGAGCUGGCUGAUGGGCCACAUUCUCCCAGCUGUAGUAUAACGUCUGAGAACAUGUGCCAGACCCACUCCUCUGCAGACACAGCAACUCUAGCAGGAGGCCGAUGGGGCUGCUGUGAGGACACCCAGGACCAAUGAUGGUCCUAAGGAGAAUCCUGUAUGGCUAUGAUUUGAAGAUAUGAUGGCAGGAGCUGGAGAUUCCCUGAAGAACCAUGAGAUAGAAGCCACAUUUUGAGGAUGGCAGAACAGCAAGAUAGAGGGAACCUGGGCUCUGAUGAUGAUAAAGCAGCCAUAGCAAGCAUGGACCAUGUCCCUGGACAUCUACCUGAGAGAGAAGGCAACUGUUAAUGUAAAUGACUUUGACUUAGGUCUCUUUGUUAAAGAAGCCAACUUUAUAUCCCAGUGAAUAGAGAUGUGAACAUAAAUACUUGUAAAUCAA